UUUCCGUAGGUGAACCUGCGGAAGGAUCAUUACCGAGUGAGGGCCCUCUGGGUCCAACCUCCCACCCGUGUUUAUCGUACCUUGUUGCUUCGGUGGGCCCGCCUCACGGCCGCCGGGGGGCACCCGCCCCGGGGCCGCGCCCGCCGAAGACACCAUUGAACGCUGUCUGAAGAUUGCAGUCUGAGCAUCUUAGCUAAAUCAGUUAAAACUUUCAACAACGGAUCUCUUGGUUCCGACAUCGAUGAAGAACGCAGC
RNAcentral lists this unclassified non-coding RNA (255 nucleotides) under plant metagenome. RNAcentral describes it as "partial contains small subunit ribosomal RNA, internal transcribed spacer 1, and 5.8S ribosomal RNA". The stretch from base 207 to 255 matches the Rfam family "5.8S ribosomal RNA", at positions 1 to 49 of the family's 154-position model. The record is from RNAcentral.